UACAGGGGGGGCAAGCGUUGUUCGGAAUUACUGGGCGUAAAGGGCCAGUAGGCGGCCAACUAAGUCACACGUGAAAUCCCCAGGCUUAACCUGGGAACUGCGUCUGAUACUGGAUGGCUUGAGUGUGGGAGAGGGAUGCGGAAUUCCAGGUGUAGCGGUGAAAUGCGUAGAUAUCUGGAGGAACACCGGUGGCGAAGGCGGCAUCCUGGACCAUUACUGACGCUGAGUGAGCGAAAGCCAGGGGAGCAAACGGG
RNAcentral lists this ribosomal RNA (254 nucleotides) under uncultured bacterium. RNAcentral describes it as "partial 16S ribosomal RNA". It matches the Rfam family "Bacterial small subunit ribosomal RNA", at positions 524 to 776 of the family's 1533-position model. The record is from RNAcentral.